This 459-nucleotide ribosomal RNA is filed under the name uncultured bacterium. Its description in RNAcentral is "partial 16S ribosomal RNA". It matches the Rfam family "Bacterial small subunit ribosomal RNA", at positions 339 to 795 of the family's 1533-position model. The record is from RNAcentral.
CUACGGGAGGCUGCAGUGAGGAAUAUUGGGCAAUGGAGGCAACUCUGACCCAGCCAUGCCGCGUGCAGGAAGACGGCCCUCUGGGUUGUAAACUGCUUUUGUUUGGGAAUAAACCCUUCUACGUGUAGAAGGCUGAAGGUACCUUACGAAUAAGGAUCGGCUAACUCCGUGCCAGCAGCCGUGGUAAUACGGAGGAUCCAAGCGUUAUCCGGAUUUAUUGGGUUUAAAGGGUCCGUAGGCGGAUCUUUAAGUCAGUGGUGAAAGCCCACAGCUCAACUGUGGAACUGCCAUUGAUACUGGAGAUCUUGAGUGUAGUAGAAGUAGGCGGAAUAGGGCAUGUAGCGGUGAAAUGCAUAGAUAUGCCCUAGAACACCGAUUGCGAAGGCAGCUUACUAUGUUACAACUGACGCUGAGGGACGAAAGCGUGGGGAGCAAACAGGAUUAGAUACCCCCGUAGUC